GCCGAUAUAGUCUAGCGGUUAUGAUUCGUCACUCGUAUUCUCAUCAAUUCGAUAUGACGGGGUCCUCAGUUCAAAUCUGAGUGUCGGCA
Molecule: non-coding RNA, 89 nt
Organism: Eremomyces bilateralis CBS 781.70
Lineage: Eukaryota; Fungi; Ascomycota; Dothideomycetes; Eremomycetales; Eremomycetaceae
Source: the annotation of a RefSeq genome assembly